UUAAAUCCAAGUUUUGGCAACCUAAAAAUUCCCCAAAAUAAUCCCCAAAGCUUCCAGACCUGGAAUUGAAAUUUAGAUCUGAAAAUCUCUUAUAUUUUAACUUCUUCAAUAGGAAAAACCAAAAACAAACAAAUUCAAAAAAAAAAACAAAACAAAAUGGCUUACUGUUUCAUUAAGCCAUGAUAGACUCUAGUUUAAUUUUCAACUAACACCUUCGUAUCUGCUAGUUUUAGCUGAGUUGAAGUAGUCUGGUAUAUCUCAGCUGGGUGUUUCAUUUGCUGAGCUUGACUUGGGUUUGAUUUUGAAUUUUCUGAGCAGUUUGGGUCACCUAGAUGUGUACUGGAGUAGUUUUGUAGCUUACAUCUCAUGUUUGACUUUAUUCAAGUUCCAGUGAGUCCUUUGGUUUUGUUAUUUGCUACUGUUGUUGAAUUUCAACUUGUUCUGGACUGGGAUUCCAUUUCUGGGCUGUGAUUCUUGCGUUUGGUUGCUCAUUGCUGGGUUAUACUGAUGCUAACUACUUCAUUUUCCUUUUGCCAUUCAAACAUUCAGGUACUCGAUCUCAAUUCUAACUUGAUGUAAUCAAUGGAGAAAUGCUAUAAAGUAUUCACUCAUUUGUUUUUGGAAAUCAC
This 629-nucleotide long non-coding RNA is filed under the name Nicotiana benthamiana. Its description in RNAcentral is "long non-coding RNA (NBEN_LNC017526)". The record is from RNAcentral. Lineage: Eukaryota; Viridiplantae; Streptophyta; Magnoliopsida; Solanales; Solanaceae.